UUGAACGCUGGCGGAAUGCUUUACACAUGCAAGUCGAGCGGCAGCGCGGGGGCAACCCUGGCGGCGAGCGGCGAACGGGUGAGUAAUGCAUCGGAACAUACCCAGUCGUGGGGGAUAACGUAGCGAAAGUUACGCUAAUACCGCAUGAGUCCUGAGGGAGAAAGCGGGGGAUCGCAAGACCUCGCGCGAUUGGAGUGGCCGAUGUCAGAUUAGCUAGUUGGUGGGGUAAAGGCCUACCAAGGCGACGAUCUGUAGCGGGUCUGAGAGGAUGAUCCGCCACACUGGGACUGAGACACGGCCCAGACUCCUACGGGAGGCAGCAGUGGGGAAUUUUGGACAAUGGGCGAAAGCCUGAUCCAGCCAUGCCGCGUGCGGGAAGAAGGCCUUCGGGUUGUAAACCGCUUUCAGCCGGAAAGAAAUCGCCACUUCUAAUACGAGUGGUGGAUGACGGUACCGGAAGAAGAAGCACCGGCUAACUACGU
Molecule: ribosomal RNA, 482 nt
Filed under: uncultured bacterium
Lineage: Bacteria
Description: bacterial SSU rRNA
Rfam family: Bacterial small subunit ribosomal RNA
Source: RNAcentral